This 1323-nucleotide ribosomal RNA is filed under the name Enterobacter cloacae. Its description in RNAcentral is "bacterial SSU rRNA". It matches the Rfam family "Bacterial small subunit ribosomal RNA", at positions 41 to 1356 of the family's 1533-position model. Lineage: Bacteria; Pseudomonadati; Pseudomonadota; Gammaproteobacteria; Enterobacterales; Enterobacteriaceae. The record is from RNAcentral.
GGCANCGGACUACCAUGCAGUCGAACGGUAGCACAGAGAGCUUGCUCUCGGGUGACGAGUGGCGGACGGGUGAGUAAUGUCUGGGAAACUGCCUGAUGGAGGGGGAUAACUACUGGAAACGGUAGCUAAUACCGCAUAACGUCGCAAGACCAAAGAGGGGGACCUUCGGGCCUCUUGCCAUCAGAUGUGCCCAGAUGGGAUUAGCUAGUAGGUGGGGUAAUGGCUCACCUAGGCGACGAUCCCUAGCUGGUCUGAGAGGAUGACCAGCCACACUGGAACUGAGACACGGUCCAGACUCCUACGGGAGGCAGCAGUGGGGAAUAUUGCACAAUGGGCGCAAGCCUGAUGCAGCCAUGCCGCGUGUAUGAAGAAGGCCUUCGGGUUGUAAAGUACUUUCAGCGGGGAGGAAGGUGUUGUGGUUAAUAACCGCAGCAAUUGACGUUACCCGCAGAAGAAGCACCGGCUAACUCCGUGCCAGCAGCCGCGGUAAUACGGAGGGUGCAAGCGUUAAUCGGAAUUACUGGGCGUAAAGCGCACGCAGGCGGUCUGUCAAGUCGGAUGUGAAAUCCCCGGGCUCAACCUGGGAACUGCAUUCGAAACUGGCAGGCUAGAGUCUUGUAGAGGGGGGUAGAAUUCCAGGUGUAGCGGUGAAAUGCGUAGAGAUCUGGAGGAAUACCGGUGGCGAAGGCGGCCCCCUGGACAAAGACUGACGCUCAGGUGCGAAAGCGUGGGGGAGCAAACAGGAUUAGAUACCCUGGUAGUCCACGCCGUAAACGAUGUCGACUUGGAGGUUGUGCCCUUGAGGCGUGGCUUCCGGAGCUAACGCGUUAAGUCGACCGCCUGGGGAGUACGGCCGCAAGGUUAAAACUCAAAUGAAUUGACGGGGGCCCGCACAAGCGGUGGAGCAUGUGGUUUAAUUCGAUGCAACGCGAAGAACCUUACCUACUCUUGACAUCCAGAGAACUUUCCAGAGAUGGAUUGGUGCCUUCGGGAACUCUGAGACAGGUGCUGCAUGGCUGUCGUCAGCUCGUGUUGUGAAAUGUUGGGUUAAGUCCCGCAACGAGCGCAACCCUUAUCCUUUGUUGCCAGCGGUNCGGCCGGGAACUCAAAGGAGACUGCCAGUGAUAAACUGGAGGAAGGUGGGGAUGACGUCAAGUCAUCAUGGCCCUUACGAGUAGGGCUACACACGUGCUACAAUGGCGCAUACAAAGAGAAGCGACCUCGCGAGAGCAAGCGGACCUCAUAAAGUGCGUCGUAGUCCGGAUUGGAGUCUGCAACUCGACUCCAUGAAGUCGGAAUCGCUAGUAAUCGUAGAUCAGAAUG